GGGCAAAUGGGGUAGUCAUACACAGGUUACGUACCCUCAGGUCCGGGAUAGCCACGGGAAACUGUGAGUAAUACCGGGUGACCCCGCAGUUGUUGGUCAACCGCGGGCAAAGGUGAGAUUCCGCCAGAGGAGCGGCUUGUGCGAUAUCAGCUAGCUGGUGAGGUAACGGCUCACCAGGGCUUAGACGUCCAGGGGGUGUGAGAGCAUGGCCCCCACCACCGGAACUGAGACACUGUCCGGAUACCUACGGGUGGCUGCAGUCGAGAAUCUUUGGCAAUGCGCGAAAGCGUGACCAAGCGACGCCGCGUGCGGGAUGAAGGCCUUCGGGUUGUAAACCGCUGUCAGAGGGGAUGAAAUCAUUGGGGGUACUCCCCCUUUGUUGACAGAGCCUCAGAGGAAGCGCGGGCUAAGUUCGUGCCAGCAACCGCGGUAACACGAACUGCGCAAACGUUAUUCGGAAUCACUGGGCUUAAAGGGUGCGUAGGCGGACUGUUAAGUAGGGCGUGAAAUCUGUCGGCUCAACCGGCAGACUGCGUUCUAAACUGGCAGUCUUGAGCGAGUCAGGGGUGUGCGGAACUUCCGGUGGAGCGGUGAAAUGUGUUGAUAUCGGAAGGAACGCCGGUGGCGAAAGCGGCACACUGGGGCUUGUCUGACGCUGAGGCACGAAGGCCAGGGGAGCGAACAGGAUUAGAUACCCUGGUAGUCCUGGCUGUAAACGAUGAAUACUGG
This 729-nucleotide ribosomal RNA is filed under the name uncultured Planctomycetota bacterium. RNAcentral describes it as "bacterial SSU rRNA". It matches the Rfam family "Bacterial small subunit ribosomal RNA", at positions 96 to 819 of the family's 1533-position model. The record is from RNAcentral. Lineage: Bacteria; Pseudomonadati; Planctomycetota.